GCGGAGGAAAAGAAACCAACAGGGAUUGCCUUAGUAACGGCGAGUGAAGCGGCAACAGCUCAAAUUUGAAAUCUGGCUCCUUCGGGGCCCGAGUUGUAAUUUGCAGAGGAUGCUUCGGGUUUGGGUUCCUUCCGAGUUCCCUGGAACGGGACGCCAUAGAGGGUGAGAGCCCCGUCUGGUAGGAAACCCAGCCCAUGUGAAGCUCCCUCGACGAGUCGAGUAGUUUGGGAAUGCUGCUCUAAGGGGAGGUAUACUCCUUCCAAGGCUAAAUACCGGCUAGAGACCGAUAGCGCACAAGUAGAGUGAUCGAAAGAUGAAAAGUACUUUGAAAAGAGAGUCAAACAGCACGUGAAAUUGUUAAAAGGGAAGCGCUCGCUACCAGACGUGGGUUCGGUGGUUCAACCAGGUCCAUGACCUGGGGCACUCCGCCGGCCCAGGCCAGCAUCAGCUUUCCGUCGGGGGCAAAGGCGUCGGGAAUGUGGCUCCCCUUCGGGGGAGUGUUAUAGCCCGUCGCGUCAUACCCUUCGGGGGGCUGAGGUACGCGCUCCGCAAGGAUGCUGGCGUAAUGGUAGCUAGUGACCCGUCUUGAAACACGGACCAAGGAGUCAACCUUAUGUGCGAGUGCCCGGGCGUAAAACCCCAGCGCGGAAUGAAAGUGAACGUAGGUGAGAGCUUCGGCGCAUCACCGACCGAUCCUGAUGUCCUCGGACGGAUUUGAGUGAGAGCAUAUAGGGUUGGACCCGAAAGAAGAUGAACUAUGCGUGUGUAGGGUGAAUCCAGAGGAAACUCUGGUGGAGGCUCGCAGCGGUUCUGACGUGCAAAUCGA
This 826-nucleotide unclassified non-coding RNA is filed under the name Verticillium isaacii. Its description in RNAcentral is "sequence contains 28S rRNA gene". It matches the Rfam family "Eukaryotic large subunit ribosomal RNA", at positions 50 to 901 of the family's 3401-position model. The record is from RNAcentral. Lineage: Eukaryota; Fungi; Ascomycota; Sordariomycetes; Glomerellales; Plectosphaerellaceae.